GACGAACGCUGGCGGCGUGCUUAACACAUGCAAGUCGAACGGUGAAGCGCCUUCCUUUUUGGUGGGUGUGGAUGAGUGGCGAACGGGUGAGUAACACGUGAGUAACCUGCCCCCUUCUUCUGGAUAACCGCAUGAAAGUGUGGCUAAUACGUGAUAUUCUGGGUCUGUCGCAUGAUGGGUCUGGGAAAGAUAUUGUUUCGGUGGGGGAUGGGCUCGCGGCCUAUCAGCUUGUUGGUGGGGUGAUGGCCUACCAAGGCGGUGACGGGUAGCCGGCCUGAGAGGAUGGACGGACACACUGGGGCUGAACGACGGACCAGACUCCUACGGGAGGCAGCAGUGGGGAAUAUUGAACGGUGGGCGGAAGGCUGAUGCAGCGACGCCGCGUGGGGGAUGGAGGCCUUCGGGUUGUGAACCUCUUUCGCCAGUGAAGCAGGGCUGCCUCGUUUGUGGGUGGGUUGACGGUAGCUGGAUAAGAAGCGCCGGCUAACUACGUG
This 494-nucleotide ribosomal RNA is filed under the name uncultured bacterium. RNAcentral's name for it is "partial 16S ribosomal RNA". It matches the Rfam family "Bacterial small subunit ribosomal RNA", at positions 28 to 507 of the family's 1533-position model. The record is from RNAcentral.